This 1636-nucleotide long non-coding RNA is filed under the name Homo sapiens (human). RNAcentral describes it as "HSALNT0282828". The record is from RNAcentral. Lineage: Eukaryota; Metazoa; Chordata; Mammalia; Primates; Hominidae.
GGUACUGCGGAGGAAAUAUGUGGGGAACUUAUUACAGAUACAGAUUCCAGGCCCUGGGGCAGAGGACUCAAGUCUUGCUAUGUUUCCAGGCUGGUGUUAAACUCCUGGGCUCAAAAGAUCCUCCCACCUCAGCCUCCCAAAGUGCUGGGAUUACAGGUAUGAGCCACUGCACCUGGCCUGCCAUAGUCUAGAAGGCUAGAAACAAGUCACAGGUUCUGCUGACACUCCAGAAGAUAAGAUUACAUAGGGCAUAAACACCAGGUGGUGGGGAUUACUGGAGGUCACUUUAGCAUCUGUUGGCCACAAGGGCUAGAAUAGUAAGGAUGUUUGCAAGGGAGUGAUUACAAUGAUGAAUAAUGAAAUCUAAGCUGAGUGUAUUAGUUUUGUAUUGCCACAUAACCAAUUACUACAAAUUUAACAGCUGUAAAAAAACACAUAUUGUCUCCCAGUUUCCAUGGGUUAGAAAUCCAGGCACAGCUUAACUAGAUUCUCUGCUCAGGGUCACACAGGCUGCAAUCAGGAUGUUGUCCAGGACCACAGCGUCAUAUGAGGUUUAGGUCCUCUUUCAAACUUACAUGGUUGUUGGCAGAAUUUAAUUCUUUGUGGUUGUAGAACUAAGGCCCUCAGACCCUAGGGGCUGCCUACCAUGUGGCCAUCUCCAUAGGUAGUACACAAUAGCAUAGCAGCUUCUUGCUUCUUCAAGGCCAUCAGUUUGAGUUCUUUGCAUGCUAGCAAGAUGGAGCCAUAGCUAUAUCUAGAGAGAGACAGAGAGAGAGGUAGGGGCAGGGCAAAUCAGAGGAGUGAAAUCCUAUCAUCCUGGCCAUAUUCUAUCGGUUAGAAGCAAGUCACAAUGACCACCCCCUUCAAGGGAAGGGGGAUUAUACAGGGCAUAAUAAUGGGGUAGAGAUACUAUGGGGGUCAUCAGAUAAUUCUGCCUACCAUGCUGGGUAAGGAGAGAAGUGAGGACAUGAGGGGACUGAGGGGCAGUUAGUUAAAAGGUGGUGGGACCUGCCGGGUGCGGUGGCUCACGCCUGUAAUCACAGCACUUUGGGAGGCUGAGGCAGGCAGAUCACGAGGUCAAGAGAUCGAGACCAUCCUGGCCAACAUGGCAAAACCCCAUCUCUACUAAAAAUACAAAAAUAAAAAAUAGCCAGGUGUGGUGUUGCAUGCCUGUAGUCCCAGCUACUCUGGAGGCUGAGGCAAGAGAAUCGCUUGAACCCGGGAGGCAGAGGUUGCAGUGAGCUGAGAUGGCGCCAUUGCACUCCAGCCUGGGAGACAGGGCAAGACUCUGUCUCAAACAAACAAACAAACAAAAGGUGGUGGGACCAAAGAAUCAGAGGUUGAGGUGAGGUUGAAGAAUUUUUACAUGGGAGAACAAAUUAGAGAAAUGAGCCUCUUCCUCCAGAGAUAGACACAGAUUUACAAAGAGGCAGCCAGCUUGUUGAGUGGAUCAUCAUAGGUUAGAUUUCAGCCCAGACCCUACUCAUUCUCUGGACUGGGCGUGCUUGUGCAAUGCAUAAACUGUACAGCCAUACACAGCAGCCAAGGCAGCAUAUAUAGGGGAAAUGACCACUAUGUGGUCAGCCUCAGCUCUCUCAUCUCCCAGCUAGACAACCUAAGGCCAGCUAUCCCCCGU